RNAcentral lists this ribosomal RNA (389 nucleotides) under uncultured bacterium. Its description in RNAcentral is "bacterial SSU rRNA". It matches the Rfam family "Bacterial small subunit ribosomal RNA", at positions 30 to 418 of the family's 1533-position model. The record is from RNAcentral.
AUUGAACGCUGGCGGCAUGCCUUACACAUGCAAGUCGAACGGCAGCACGGGAGCAAUCCUGGUGGCGAGUGGCGAACGGGUGAGUAAUAUAUCGGAACGUGCCCGGUCGUGGGGAUAACGUAGCGAAAGCUACGCUAAUACCGCAUACGAUCUACGGAUGAAAGCGGGGGGAUCGCAAGACCUCGCGCGAUUGGAGCGGCCGAUAUCAGAUUAGGUAGUUGGUGAGGUAAAGGCUCACCAAGCCGACGAUCUGUAGCUGGUCUGAGAGGACGACCAGCCACACUGGGACUGAGACACGGCCCAGACUCCUACGGGAGGCAGCAGUGGGGAAUUUUGGGACAAUGGGCGCAAGCCUGAUCCAGCAAUGCCGCGUGCAGGAUGAAGGCCUU